UUUCGCAAUGCCCGAAAGGGUGACGAAGCGACGCCGCGUGGGUGAGGAAGGCCUUCGGGUUGUAAAGCCCUGUCAGGAGUUAAGAAAUGUGGGCUCGCUAAUAUCGGGUCUAUUUGACAAAGGCUCCAAAGGAAGCCACGGCUAACUCUGUGCCAGCAGCCGCGGUAAUACAGAGGUGGCAAGCGUUGUUCGGAAUUAUUGGGCGUAAAGAGCGCGUAGGUGGAUUUGUAAGUCAGAUGUGAAAGCCUUCUGUUCAACGGGAGAAUUGCAUCUGAAACUGCGAAUCUUGAGUAUAGGAGGGGAGAAUGGAACUUCUGGUGGAGCGGUGAAAUGCGUAGAUAUCAGAAGGAACGCCGGCGGCGAAAGCGAUUCUCUGGCCUAUUACUGACACUGAGUGUGCGAAAGCUAGGGGAGCAAACGGGAUUAGAUACCCCGGUAGUCCUAGCCGUAAACGAUGGGCACUAAGUAGAGGGGUUUUA
Molecule: ribosomal RNA, 479 nt
Filed under: uncultured bacterium
Lineage: Bacteria
Description: bacterial SSU rRNA
Rfam family: Bacterial small subunit ribosomal RNA
Source: RNAcentral